GAUGAACGCUGGCGGCGUGCCUAAUACAUGCAAGUCGAGCGAACAGACGAGGAGCUUGCUCCUCUGACGUUAGCGGCGGACGGGUGAGUAACACGUGGAUAACCUACCUAUAAGACUGGGAUAACUUCGGGAAACCGGAGCUAAUACCGGAUAAUAUAUUGAACCGCAUGGUUCAAUAGUGAAAGACGGUUUUGCUGUCACUUAUAGAUGGAUCCGCGCCGCAUUAGCUAGUUGGUAAGCUAACGGCUUACCAAGGCAACGAUGCGUAGACGACCUGAGAGGGUGAUCGCCCACCCUGGAACUGGACCACGGUCCAUACUCCUACGGGAGGCAGCAGUCGGGAACCUUCCGCAAUGGGCGAAAGCAUGACGCAGCAACCCCGAGCGAGUGAUGAAGGUCUUCGGAUCGUAAAACUCUGUUAUUAGGGAAGAACCACUGUGUAAGUAACCAUGCCCGUCUUGACGGUACCUAAUCAGAAAGCCCCGGCUAACUACGUG
This 497-nucleotide ribosomal RNA is filed under the name uncultured bacterium. RNAcentral's name for it is "partial 16S ribosomal RNA". It matches the Rfam family "Bacterial small subunit ribosomal RNA", at positions 28 to 507 of the family's 1533-position model. The record is from RNAcentral.